UCUGCCUAGUAGUGGGGGAUAACUUGCCGAAAGGUAAGCUAAUACCGCGUACGUCCUACGGGAGAAAGCAGGGGCCUCUUCGGAGCCUUGUGCUAUUAGAUGAGCCUAGGUCAGAUUAGCUAGUUGGUGAGGUAAAGGCUCACCAAGGCGACGAUCUGUAACUGGUCUGAGAGGAUGAUCAGUCACACUGGAACUGAGACACGGUCCAGACUCCUACGGGAGGCAGCAGUGGGGAAUAUUGGACAAUGGGGGAAACCCUGAUCCAGCCAUGCCGCGUGUGUGAAGAAGGUCUUCGGAUUGUAAAGCACUUUAAGUUGGGAGGAAGGGCUUACGGUUAAUACCCGCUAAGUUUUGACGUUACCAACAGAAUAAGCACCGGCUAACUUCGUGCCAGCAGCCGCGGUAAUACGAAGGGUGCAAGCGUUAAUCGGAAUUACUGGGCGUAAAGCGCGCGUAGGUGGUUUGUUAAGUUGGAAGUGAAAGCCCCGGGCUCAACCUGGGAAUUGCUUUCAAAACUAGCAGGCUAGAGUACAGUAGAGGGUAGUGGAAUUUCCUGUGUAGCGGUGAAAUGCGUAGAUAUAGGAAGGAACAUCAGUGGCGAAGGCGACUACCUG
This 614-nucleotide ribosomal RNA is filed under the name uncultured bacterium. RNAcentral's name for it is "bacterial SSU rRNA". It matches the Rfam family "Bacterial small subunit ribosomal RNA", at positions 125 to 731 of the family's 1533-position model. The record is from RNAcentral.